Molecule: ribosomal RNA, 247 nt
Filed under: uncultured bacterium
Lineage: Bacteria
Description: partial 16S ribosomal RNA
Rfam family: Bacterial small subunit ribosomal RNA
Source: RNAcentral
UGAGUAACACGUAUCCAACCUGCCGAUGACUCGGGGAUAGCCUUUCGAAAGAAAGAUUAAUACCCGAUGGCAUAGUUCUUCCGCAUGGUGGAACUAUUAAAGAAUUUCGGUCAUCGAUGGGGAUGCGUUCCAUUAGGUUGUUGGCGGGGUAACGGCCCACCAAGCCUUCGAUGGAUAGGGGUUCUGAGAGGAAGGUCCCCCACAUUGGAACUGAGACACGGUCCAAACUCCUACGGGAGGCAGCAUG